AAUGAACGCUGGCGGCAGGCCUAACACAUGCAAGUCGAACGGACCCUUCGGGGUUAGUGGCGGACGGGUGAGUAACACGUGGGAACGUGCCUUUAGGUUCGGAAUAGCUCCUGGAAACGGGUGGUAAUGCCGAAUGUGCCCUUCGGGGGAAAGAUUUAUCGCCUUUAGAGCGGCCCGCGUCUGAUUAGCUAGUUGGUGAGGUAAAGGCUCACCAAGGCGACGAUCAGUAGCUGGUCUGAGAGGAUGACCAGCCACAUUGGGACUGAGACACGGCCCAAACUCCUACGGGAGGCAGCAGUGGGGAAUCUUGCGCAAUGGGCGAAAGCCUGAUCCAGCCAUGCCGCGUGAGUGAUGAAGGCCUUAGGGUUGUAAAGCUCUUUCACCGAUGAAGAUAAUGACGGUAGUCGGAGAAGAAGCCCCGGCUAACUUCGUGCCAGCCGCCGCUGUAA
This 449-nucleotide ribosomal RNA is filed under the name uncultured bacterium. RNAcentral's name for it is "partial 16S ribosomal RNA". It matches the Rfam family "Bacterial small subunit ribosomal RNA", at positions 29 to 523 of the family's 1533-position model. The record is from RNAcentral.